RNAcentral lists this ribosomal RNA (253 nucleotides) under uncultured bacterium. Its description in RNAcentral is "partial 16S ribosomal RNA". It matches the Rfam family "Bacterial small subunit ribosomal RNA", at positions 524 to 776 of the family's 1533-position model. The record is from RNAcentral.
UACAGAGGGUGCGAGCGUUGUCCGGAAUCACUGGGCGUAAAGGGCGCGUAGGUGGCGGGCCAAGUCCAUGGUGAAAGCUCGAUGCUCAACAUCGAGUCGGCCACGGAUACUGGUUCGCUCGAGCACUGUAGAGGCUAAUGGAAUUCCGGGUGUAGCGGUGGAAUGCGUAGAGAUCCGGAAGAACACCGGUGGCGAAGGCGGCCUGCUGGGCAGUAGCUGACACUGAGGCGCGACAGCGUGGGGAGCAAACAGG